Molecule: ribosomal RNA, 434 nt
Filed under: uncultured bacterium
Lineage: Bacteria
Description: partial 16S ribosomal RNA
Rfam family: Bacterial small subunit ribosomal RNA
Source: RNAcentral
AGCGAACGCUGGCGGCAGGCCUAACACAUGCAAGUCGAACGAACCUUUCGGGGUUAGUGGCGGACGGGUGAGUAACACGUAGGAACGUGCCUUUAGGUUCGGAAUAACUCAGGGAAACUUGUGCUAAUACCGAAUGUGCCCUUCGGGGGAAAGAUUUAUCGCCUUUAGAGCGGCCCGCGUCUGAUUAGCUAGUUGGUUGAGGUAAUGGCUCACCAAGGCGACGAUCAGUAGCUGGUCUGAGAGGAUGAUCAGCCACAUUGGGACUGAGACACGGCCCAAACUCCUACGGGAGGCAGCAGUGGGGAAUCUUGCGCAAUGGGAGAAAGCCUGACGCAGCCAUGCCGCGUGAAUGAUGAAGGUCUUAGGAUUGUAAAAUUCUUUCACCGGGGACGAUAAUGACGGUACCCGGAGAAGAAGCCCCGGCUAACUUCGUG